UUAACCCCUUUUCUUUCCUUGCGCAUUUGAGUACUGCAACUAAGAUGCAAGACGCACAAUCGUCUGCACAUUUGCAAAAAGCGAAUGUUUUUGACAAUUUCCCGUGAAGAAAUUGAAAUUAGUGCUGUUUAGAUGGUAUUGGCAAACUGUCAACACCCCCCCCCCCCCCCCCCUGGCAGAGAUCCUGCGUGCGCUACUGCUUUUCAGGGAUGUUGAUAACCGCCUGUGAUGAUUUUAGAAUGCCUGCCACAUGCACUUCUCCCCAUUUUAUUCAGUUGGAUAUUUCCUCAUGAUCGUCGUCAUAGUGAUCACCAGAAACUGUGUUGUCACAAAUCACCUUUUUAAAUUAUCUGAGACAGCCAUCAGUGAAACAGCUGGCAUAUAUUGCUAUCAGCACUGAACAUCUUUUUGCUUUGCUAUCACAGGCUAUCCUAUUAAAACCUCUACUCCACUAUCCUAUUAAAACCUCCAAAGUAUAUCUGUAUUGUGGAUUUGAUGCCGGGUCUGAGAUGUAAAUGCAAUUUCUUCCUUCAGAAAUCAGUACCUCCUCACACGGCCAGCAGUACUGUUCCCUAAGCAUGUUCAGUAAUGGCAGAGCACAGAGAGCCAUGGCAGUAGUGUAACUCUAAAGGGUCAAAUGUGUGGCACUUGCAGUGUAACACGUGAUGUUACCAACUUACAUGUGAGCACAAAAAAAAAAAAAUAAAGUGUAACAUAACCUUGAUGUAGUGUGACAUGUUCAUAAUCAGAAUGAGAAGCAUUUAUUAGUUGAGGUUAUAGUAAAAAUUUAGCACAAUGGUUUUUAUCCUUGGCACAUACAGCAUUACUUUGGUUGGCCAUCGUUAACUAGUGUAAAAGGAAAAACAGAAAGGUGCUUCAUUAAAGAAGAGUGUGGUGAAGUAUUUAUUCAUUCAAGAUGAAGAACAGUUGCACAAAUUGACAGUAGCGGCAAGUUUUCUUGCCUAUGUGAAAGGGCCCUUUGUAUCCACAUGUAUGCAAGAAAGUGUCCUUUUUUGCUUGUCUAUUUUGUUUGCACAGUUACCUGAGAAUGGCUGAAAAACUUCUUUGCUCGUGCUGUCAAGGGCUGUUUUGUAUCUGUGGGGUGUUGUAUGCUUAUCUCUAUUCCUUUUGGCUUCCUGAGUGUGUAACUUGUAUGUACGUAAUUGUUAAAUGCCUGUGGACAAACUAUUUAUUAGAAUAUCAGCCUAUAUAUAUAUAUAUAUGGGCUGAUAAUAUGUAAGGUUUGUAGAAUUUUUAAAUAUUGCCUCGUGCAGAUAACAUAAUUCUAGGCCUUCAGCUCAAUUCAGAGAGUUGGACAUUACCUGCAUCAGAAAUUGAAACACAUAUUCAAAUAAUUAGCAAGGUUUCACAAAUUAACUUAAUUACUUUAUUACUUUACGGCAAAUAUUUCAAUUUAAGGAUUAUAGCUAGUGAAUUUGGAAGGCUUAUCCGCUUGAAAUGUAUUUCCAGAAUGACAACAGUUAGGAGAUACGUGCCAUCAAACUCUCUCUAAAAAUUCACUUUGUUCCACUUACUUUUUUAGCAAAACAUUCUUUUGUGCAUUGAAGCACAAAGGCAACUGGAACGCCUAUGUAUUUCGUCUUGCACUUUGGGAAAUAAUAUCUCAAAGGUAGUGUCAUCCUGUAGAUUCAUUUCAAGUGGAUACCUCUUGCAAGCUUACCAGCUACAAUUUAUAAAUAGAAAUGCGUGCUGGCACGUAAAUUAAUUACUGAAGAAGUUAAUUAGUAAAUUUUUGUUAAAUAAUUGAAUAUGUGUUGCGAUUUCUCAGGAUAGUUAUGUUCGCCUCUUUGAAUAAUCCAGCUCAAGGACAAGAAUUAUGCUAGCAGCCACAGGGGAUUUUUUUAAAUUCUGUAAUCACCCCAUAUAUAUAUAUAUGGUCAAGAUUACCAAAAAUCGAGCUCCUUGGUUUCCCUUCUUCUCUCACACACAUAUAUAUAUAUAGAGCUCGAAGUUGUGGUUUUAUACCAGGCCACAUUUUGAUUGUAGUGAAAUGCAAAAAUGGUCACGUGCUUAUUGGUCAAAAUUAAUCUUGAGUCUCCUACUGUGGUGUGCCUCAUAAUCAGAUUGGGGCUUUGGCACGUAAAACCCCCAGCAUGUAACUUUAAUUUUUUAAAAACAAAGCUUGGGAGAGGGCUGACUUAGAAUUGAGAAAUUGGUGUGAGGACGCUCUUUAAGGCUGUGCAGAGUAACUGAUGUGAUGUUACACGGUGUGAAGGUGAUGCUACCUUUAAGCCAAAUUCCUGUUAUGUGCGUAAGAAUAAAUUAAAAGCAGUAAAAUUUCUUGUGGUUACAUAGAAAUAACUAGUAUACUUUAGCAGUGGCUAAAGCAUGCUUAUUUAUUCGACAUCAUGCAGUAUGGCAACUUUUUUGGUUAUGGUGUUUCACUGCUUUUGGUGUAUUAGAUUGCUUCACGAAAGUGGGCUUUUUAUGUGUUGUGCACCAUCAUAUUAAUCAUCUGCUACCAGCAUGGUAUGUAAAAAAAGUACAACACUUUAGUCUUGUUUGUGUUCUGGUAACCUAGAUUUCGUCUCUUGACAAUCCAAUUUCAGUGUAUCUGCUGAGAUUUGGGUAAAUAUGCCUUGUGAAAAUGGCAUGUUCAAAGGAAAGAGAAGAGGAGGUUUGUGUCAAAAGCAAAACCAGCUGAUUUGGAAAAGAAGCCAGAGGAGGCAUGUCUGAACACAGCAGACAACACACACAAAGGCACAAGGCAGUGUUCACUGGUUCCAGGCCCUUUGGCUUCAUUCAUCCACAGAACUCCGCAAGAAAGGAUGUGUCCAUGGCCUAGAGUGGCAAAAUGUUCUUAUGAUAUCUCUGGCAUUACUUGGUGUUGAUGGUCGAUGCAUGUAUGUUAUUUCAUUGCACCAUUUUUUCACUUCUCUGUUGCACUUUCUUUCUUUUAUUUCUUAAGCUUCAUUGCCUUGCACUUCGUUUUAGACUCUUGAUAAGGUAGUAACAUCCACAGAAGACUGAUAGAGGUGUGACGGUAUGUAGUGCUGUGGACAGCUCUACUAGUACUGGUGUUAUGUUCGUAUGCAUGCUGAAAUGGUUUGUACUUGAUACUUUUGUACUGCUUCUGAGAGAUGUUUCAAAUUGUGGAUGGCUCUUAUAUUUAUAUAUUUGACAGAAAACUUAAGUUGAUGACACUUAUUUUUAAUUAACUAAAGAAAACGAGCUCUUCAUUCUUGUUUAAUUGCAGUCUUUUGUGUGCUGUUGUGUACAAAUAAAACACAAAUAAGAAAGUAUAAAGUUGAAUGUUACUUGAGUUUUAUAGCACACUGCUAUGUGUCUUGUCCUCAAAGAUGGUGUAGGCCCAAACUGGAAUCAUGCCAAUAUCACACAAAGUAGCAAAAGGGUAAAGGAAAGAGCACAUUCUAGUUAGCCCUAACUUCUUUGUAUUUUAUUGUCAACGUUUGUACAUUGUGUGGUGGUUUUAAAAUGUGUGCCUGCUGCAAUAAGCGUGUUUGUAUGUAUCCCAGAGAUGUGUGCAGAAUAUUUUCUUGACUUAAAUAGUUUAAAGAAUGCAUUUAGUGGACAACCAACUGAAUGUCUGCAUGCCAUACCUUUUUCUAACAUUUUAUUCUUCACUAUGGCUUUUAUGGUAUGAUCUUUUGGGUUUGAUCAUGCAUACUGCCUCUCUAGAUCCUGUUGCGUGCACCAUAUUAAGAAUAAAAGGGCCAAAUUGAAGGCAAAUCAGCUUGUAAAGCCAUAUUCUGGCAGCACAUGUGUCCAAUGACGAUGCUCUCUGUACCAUUGGCACCCACUAAAUCGUUUUCAGUAUACUU
Dermacentor silvarum is the source of this 3803-nucleotide long non-coding RNA. RefSeq lists it as uncharacterized. The record is from RefSeq and is a predicted model, not a curated record. The transcript is spliced from 2 exons. Lineage: Eukaryota; Metazoa; Arthropoda; Arachnida; Ixodida; Ixodidae.